Molecule: long non-coding RNA, 27527 nt
Filed under: Glycine max (soybean)
Lineage: Eukaryota; Viridiplantae; Streptophyta; Magnoliopsida; Fabales; Fabaceae
Description: long non-coding RNA (GMAX_LNC003782)
Source: RNAcentral
AAGUUCAUCUAAACAAAAUGAGGAAAAAGCAUAGUUUUCAGAAAGCACAGUAAUAGCAAUCCUGGACUCGUUAAUUGCGUUGGAGAGUGCAGGUGUUAUUUUGUCUCCUCUCGGAAGCUCCUGAUCAUCAAUGAAAGUGUAGAUUCCCCUGUCACCAAGAGCUUUGUAGAGGUUGCCAGUGAAACCAUUGCGUGUGUCUAAACCUCUGAAGCUGAGGAACACAUCGUAGAUGGAUGCAAGGGAACGUGUUGUCGCAGCCAUUAUCAGAAUAAAAAAAUUUUAGUAUGGUAAUGGUUGAUAUGAUAGGAGUGUAGAAUCAAACUUGAACAAAUAUGAAGAUGAAAGUAUACCAAAUGUUAUAAAAGUCAAGUCAAGCUCUUGUUAUCCAUCAAUAAAUUUAGUAUGGAAAUGGUUGAUAUGAUAGGAGUGUAGAAUCAAACUUGAACAAUUAUAAAGAUGAAAGUAUAGCAAAUGUUAUAAAAGUCAGUAAGCUCUUAUUAUCCAUCAAUAAAUUUAAUAAAUAUUUUAUAUUAAUGUCACGAUAAAGAAUAUCUUUAAUAUAAACUUAAUUCCUAAUUAACUACCUACAAGUUAUGAGACUAGUUGUAAAAAAAUUAUAUUUUAUAAUCAGAUCAUUUACAAACUAAGCAUUUUCUUUUGUAGAAGUAUAAAAUUAUUUUUAAUAUUUGCUAAUGUAUUUAAAAUAAUUAACUGGUGGUACUAAAUUUCAAUUUCUCCCCGUCCCCCAUUAAAAUUGUUAGACGUAAAAAAUUAGUAAAUUUCACAAAUUCUGUGAGCUGCGAUCAAUGUGCAAGAGCACAUUCUUUCAACUCCAAGUUCAAGGCUAUAUUCGGAAAUUUAGCUCUCAAAAAGGAAACCAAAUUCAAAAUUAUGAUUCAUUUAACUUUCCAUAGGAUGAGAACUAGAUGUUUGUUCCAAAGCAAAGGACGUUUAGAUAAAUAAAUCUAAGUUGGUGGAAAUUAAUUUAAAACUGAAUUACAAUUUUAGUUUUCAAACAAUAUUUUCAGAUCGAAUUCAAUUUUUACAUCCUAUUAAUAUAAAAAAAUUAUCCUACCAAUUCAUCAGAAAUAAAAGUAGACGUGACUUGUGAAGUGGUUAAUAUUUCAAUAAUUAAUUAUAUACAUAUUUAAUUAUUAUUAUUAUAAUUAAUUAUAGAAAUAAGUUUUGUAUCUAAAAUUGUUAAAUAAAAUACUACUUUAAAAUAAUUUAUUUUAUUUAAAUAGUUUUAAAAAUACUUUUAGUAUGAAAUUUUUUAUUAUAAAUAUAAAUUUAUUAGUUCCUGAUAACAAAAAACGGUUAUUAAUUCCUUUUUAAAAAACAUAAAGUUAUUAAUCACCUACUAUUGUGACCAUAAAAUUUCUGAUAACAAAUCACAUGUGCCCAUGCCAAGUUGCCAACUCCAAUCCAACCAUUGUUCUUUAGGUCAAAGUCCAAGAACAUGAGCUGAAUGGGUUACCAAUUUAAAAAUAACGCAUCCCCCCUCUGAAUGUGAGAUAUACCACUUGUUACUUUGGUCUCCUGGCGUCAUUGUCAAGAUGUUUUCAAACUCAACACUGAUUGAAGCUCCUUGGGGAAUCAGUCCUGAUCCUUUGGGUUAGGUUGACAUUUUCAGUGAUUUCUCUUGGGAAAUGGUUGGUUUGCUUUUCUGGUUUGUGUACAUGUUGCUAUGCAAACAUUGAUGCUUAACUCUUUGCCAUCUUUCAUGAUCUCAAUGUAGCUCCGAGCUCCGGUUAUUGUUAUUGGCAUUGGCAUUAAUUACAUACUUAUGACAUUCUUUAUCUCAACAUUAUUAUAAAUAAAUAAAACAUAAAAAUAUUGAUCAUCAAAUUUAUGCAGUUAAAAGAUUCACAUUUAUUUUAGUAUUAUCAAAUAAGACUUAUUAAAAAAUAAUCAUCUCAAAAUAAGGCCGUCAAAAUUUACAAAAAAUAUUUUUUUAAAUUAAUGAGGUAAAAUAAUCGCCUACAUGCAAUGUGGUGUCAUGUAAGUAAAAAACCACUCUGAGACAUUUAGGAAUACAUAACAAGACACACCACACAAUGAGUAUGUUAGGUCACUAUCACUAAGUAAAAUCAUAAGGUGACCAGCCAGUGUUACUCUGUUUUGCGAGAAUAUUCCAACCAUAUGAGAUCAAUUUAAACUUAAAGAAGUACUCAAAUCGAAUGGUUUUACCCUCAAGGUCUAGACUCCCAAGAAUCCGUUAGGGUCUCACCUUCCUAAUUCAGGUCCAACCCUUCAAACAAUUUUUGCAAGCAGAUACUGCUCAUGAAUUAUAUAAUACCCAUGAACUCACACUUGUGUUUUAAACACGUUUAACAUAUUGCGCUACAAUUUAACACUAAUUCCUAACUAGAAAACCUACUUUCUCCCUUUAACAUUGUGCAUCAAUAUUUUUCUCAAGAUAAACACUGGUCGGGUAAUUGUAUAAUUCACAACUCAAAACACAAGUAAUGUCACAUCAAGUGUUAACCACACACUUAUGCACAACUAACACAACUAAAACUUAUGUUUACAACUUCACAUCUCAUUAUGUCACAAUCAACCAUCUCAUGUUUAUAUGUAUCUCGCAAUUUAACACAUUCAACUUUACACUUAUACUCAAUCCCCAUAACAAUAUAAUAAUUUCAAAGUAAUAUAUUAUUCUACAACUCAUCAUAUACUCAAUUUAUCAAUUAUAUACAAUUUUAAUUACAAUUUCAUAAUUUUGAUAUAACUAUUUGGUACACUAAUCUUAUUCAAAAAACAAAUAAAUUAUACAAAAAUAUUUCUCAAUUCACGGGGAGUAAAUUAUACAAAUAAAUUAUACAAAAAUAUUUAAAAAAACUAUAUUUAUUUUAUUUUAUAAAUAAGUACAAAAAUGUCACAAUAUUUUUCUCUAUUUUUAAAUAUUUAUGAAAAUGAAAAGUAAGAUAUAAUAUGUAAAGCAUAUAUUGCUAUUUUGGACUUUUUUUGGGGGGAUGUUGUUACCAUGACUAUCCACUUUCUCCCUCGAAAGACAAGGCAUCCAAUUUUAAUAUGAUACAUUAAGGGAUGUUUGGUAGAAGAAAAAUACUUUCUGUUAUGGUUCGCGUCAGGGAUGGGGUAGAGGAAGGAGAUGAAAACGCAGAAUGUUCACAAGCCCUUAUUCGAGAAAGGGGAAAACUCCUUUAUUUCUUGAAGGAUAAUGUUCUUACAUUCUACGAUUAUACAUGUUCAGUAUUUAAAGUGAUUCUACGUAACUGCCUAACAAAUUCAGUUACGUCUAACGGUAUCGGGUUCGAGUAGAAUACGUGGUCCAAGCUUUCGAAAAUUAAGCACGUGUGGUGUAAGCUUGCCCUAACUACCCCUGGUUAUGUUUGGGCCUUUAUGGAGAGCCAUGCAGGUUGGCAACGUGAUAAUCCUUCAGGUGAAAUGGUGCGGACCUGACUCGUGCUGGUCUGAGUCGUGACUGGGCCGAGUCACUAACAAUACCUCCUCCUUCCAAGUCCACCUUGUCCUCAAGGUGGUAAAGCUCGCGUAGGGAGGACCAUGGUUCCCACGAUGUGUCCUCUGGUGGUUCGCCUACCCACUGGGUGAGGACCAGUUGUGUGGGGGGGGGGGGGGUCCGUAGAGUCAUCGAGUUUUGUAUCUAGGAAGCAUAGUGGUCGUCGUAACGGUUCCUUAGAGAGAGUUCCGAGGGUCCAAGUGUCUGUGAGAGGGGGCUGGGGUCCAUGGUGAGCUCGGAGGAGCGAAGAGUGAAAAUCGGGGUGGAUCUGAGAAUGGGGUGGAAGACGCAGGCGGUAAGCCACAGAACCAAUGCGUUCUUCAAUCUGGAAGGGCCCAAAGAAUCGUUUGGAGAGCUUGGGGUGGUGGUGACCGGAAAUGGAGGUUUGACGGCCAGGGCGUAGCCGCACGUAGACCCAUUGUCCGACGGAAAAUGAAACAUCAUCACGCUUAGCAUCAGCAUAGUGUUUCAUUGUAAGUUGGGCCUUUUGUAAUUUCUUCUGAAGCCGGGAGUGUAGAGCUUGUCGUGACUCGAGCAAGGUCUGAGCAGCUUCAUUGUUGGUUGUAUUAGGAAGGUAGUCAUGUGCAACUGGUGGUGGUUUUCCAUAAAUGAUCUCGAACGGUGUUGAGCCUAUGCUGGAGUGCAGAGACGUGUUAUAACACCACUCUGCAAGGGCCAAGUAAUUGAACCAGGCCGUGGUUUGGGAGUGGACAAAGCAUCAGAGGUAUUGCUCGAGAACUCUAUUCAUUACUUCCGUCUGCACGUCCGAUUGGGGGUGAUAGGCCGUGCUGAGACGCAAUUGAGUGCCGGAAAGUCUAAACAGUUCACGCCAAAAGUUGCUUAAGAAAAUUGGAUCGCGAUCGGACACGAUGCUCUUUGGGAAGCCAUGUAAUUUACAGACAAUUUGCAGGACGAGGUUAGCUACUUUGAAGGCAGUGAAACUAGUUGGUAAAGCACCUAAGUGUACCCCUUUAGAGUAUCUAUCUACGACAACAAAUAUGACUGUGAAGCCAUUAGAGGGAGGAAGGUGUGUAAUGAAAUCCAUAGACAGGUCUUCCCAGACCCCCGUAGGUAAUGGCAGUGGCUGCAGAAGGCCUGUCGGGCGCUUGGAGGAGUUCUUAUUUUGUUGGCACACUGAGCACUCCUUGAUGAAGCGACGAACAUCGUGCUUGAGGUUGGUCCAGAAGAAAUUGGAUUGGACUCGAUGGGUUGUCUUCGCAACUCCGAGGUGGCCACCUAACGGGGUUGUGUGGUACUCUGAUAGUAGACUGGGAAUGCAGGGAUUGUUGCUAUUUAACCAUAUUCGACCCUGGAACAAUACGAGAUUGUUGCAGAGGGUAUAGCCAGGGUGGUUUGCUGGGUUGGACUGUAUCGAAUGCAUGAGUUGCUGAAAUUCCGGGAGGGACUCCAAUGACUUUCGAAUGUCAUUGAGGAAGUCCAGCUGGGGAACUGAGAGGAUUAAGAGCUGGCCGGUGGAUGAGGGGGGUCGAGAAAGAGCGUCGGCAACCACGUUGGAAGAUCCAGCUUUAUAUUGUAUGGAGUAAUCAUAACCUAAUAAUUUGGAGAGAUAAUAAUGCUGCUCCGGGGUUUGUAUUAUUUGCGUCAUGAGCUCGCGAAUGCUUUUGUGGUCCGUGAGGAUCGUGAAUGGGCGUCCUAAGAGAUAUUGUCGCCAUUUUCUAACAGCUGCGACAAUGGCAUGGAGUUCACGAAUGUAUGUUGAAGCUUGGGUCAAACAAGGGGUGAGACUCUUGCUGAAAUAUGCCAAAGGAUGUCCACUCUGUGUGAGGACUGCUCCGAUAGCGGUUGCUGAUGCAUCAGUUUCAAUCACGAAGGGAGUGGAGAAGUUGGGUAGGGCUAACACGGGGGCGUUUGUCAUGGCGAAUUUGAGCUGGGAAAAGGCCUCCUGAGAUUCUGAGGUCCAGGUGAAUGCAUCCUUGCAGAGUAAGCUCGUGAGGGGAGCUGCGAUGGUGGCGUACCCCUUUAUAAACUUUCUGUAGAAUCCGGUGAGGCCUAAAAAUGCUCGGAGUUCCUUGGCGGUCCUCGGGUUUGGCCAUUGCACCAUAGCUUGGAUCUUCGAAGGUUCUGGAGUAACUCCCUUGCCGGAAACAACAUGCCCGAGGUAUUCAAUGGUCUCUUGGGCAAACGAGCACUUGGAUUGCUUGAGAUAGAACUCACCAUGCUGUAGAGUUUCGAAGAUAGUUUCCAGAUGUUGAAGGUGAGAUGACAGCGAGCUGCUAUAAACUAGAAUGUCAUCGAAGAACACUGUUACAAAUCUGCGUAAAAAUGGUUGCAACAGGUUGUUCAUGGCCGAUUGAAAGGUGGAUGGGGCAUUGCUGAGCUCGAAGGGCAUAACCAGAUAUUCGAAAUGGCCAUUAUGCGUCCGAAACGCUGUUUUCUCCACAUCUUCUUCGUGCAUCAGGAUUUGGUGAAAUCCUUGCCGGAGAUCGAGCUUGGAGAACUAGGUGGCCUGUCCUAGCUUGUCGAGGAGCUCGUCGAUCGUUGGUAUAGGAAAACGAUCUCGAAUGGUAACUGUGUUGAGCGCCCUGUAGUCCACACACAGUCUCCAUGUGCCGUCUUUCUUCUUAACGAGGAGGACCGGCGAGGAGUAGGGACUGAGACUGGGGCGAAUGAGGCCGGCGGAAAGCAACUCAGAAACUUGUUUCUCAAUUUCAUUCUUUUGGAAGUGUGGGUACCUGUAAGGCCUCACGUUUAUCGGGGCUGUGGAAGGGGCUAAUGUAAUUCGGUGAACCACUUGUCGUGGUGGGGGUAGUCUGGAUGGGGACUGAAAUAGGUGGUUAUAACGGAGAAGAAGGUGCUGGAUGGAGGGAAGAGGGUGUUGGGCCGGGGCGGUUUCGGUUCGGGUAACGGGCUGAACACUCAGUUGGUAAAAGGCCGAGGUGGAGCCGGUUUGAAGGAACUGUUUCAGUUGGGUUGCGGAAACGGGUUCAGGCCCACAUGUAGCGUCUGCUGCUAAAGACACCUCCUGACCCUGGUGUGUAAAGUUCAUGAUACCAGAUGUGUAGUCUGUCGUUAUCGGGCCCAACUUCUUCAGCCAGUCGAUGCCUAGGACCGCAUCAGCUCCAUUGAUUUGCAGGAGGUGGAAUGAUACGAGGAAUUGGUGGCCUUGGACGGUGACUAAUGUCUCUGAGCAAACCUGGUUACAAUCUAAGGUGGAACCGUUGCCCACUAAGACUUGGAGGGACCGAGUUGCUUGGACUGGUAGCUUCAGGAAUUGAGCGAUGCGCGGUUGAAGGAAGUUAUGCGUACUUCUGCUAUCAAUCAAAAUGGUUAACUGCGUGUUCUUGAUGGUGCCAUAGAGCCGAAAGGUGUCUGUGGAUGGUAAUCCUGACAACGCAUGAAGGCUGAUAUGUGAACAAGUCGAAUCUGGUGAGGGCUCGGGUUUGUCAUCAAUGGCAGAAGGUGGUGUCUGUUCGAGCUCGAGUAUGCUUUCUUCAGUGGUGGAGGUUUGUUCAUCAGCAAUGAGGAGCAUGACGCGUCCUUUACAACGAUGAUUAGUGCUCCACUUCUCGUCACAAUUGUAACAUAGUCCUCUUUCUCGUCGGAAAGCGAUCUCGGCCGGAGUUCGUUGCACAAAUGGAGGUUUUGCUUUAAUGGUGGGAUUGGGAUUGAAGGGCGGCGAGGGUUUAGGUGGAAAUGGAUUGCGUGGGGCCAAUACCGCUUUAUCUCGAAGCUUCUAUUCUUGAAGCUUGGCAAGGGCAGUAGCUUGCAGGAGCGAAAUAGGUUGAAGGGCCAUUACCUCACGGCGAACCUCUGGGCAUAAUCCUAAAAUGAAACAGCUUAAAAGAAAUGGGGGAGGAAGGCCUACCACUCGGUUUGCAAGACGUUCGAAUUCCGUUAGGUAGUCAUUAACUGUUCCCUUCUGCGUUAACUUGAAUAGUGCCCCCUUGGGGUCCUCGUAAAACGUUGGUGCGAAGCGCGACUCAAGGGCUUCGAGGAAGCUUUCCCAGGAGGUGAUCAGUCCAUUGCUGAACAUCCACUGAUACCAACUCAGUGCUGUUCCGUCGAGAUACAGGGAGGCGACUGUGACUCGCUCUUCUUCAGGCGUGUUGUGGUAUUGAAAAAGUUGCGUAAGCUUGAAAAUCCAGCCUAAGGGGUCACGGCCAUCGAAACGAGGGAUGUCUAUUUUAACUGAGUUUCGUGGAUGAUUUUGAUGAUUUGCGGUGUUGGUGGCGUUCCGGCCGGAGUCGUGGAGGCGAAGGUGGUCGAGGAUGGCAUCAACUUUGCCGGAAAGGUCUGUGUAUCGGUCUGUAAGUGAGGCCUGGCUAUUGUUAAGACGGGUAAUUGCCUCUUCAAGGCAGUCAGUGGUGGUUUUUCUGGUUCCGUGAUCGGCCAUGGCAAUGGCGGCGCCGGCAGGUCAGACCAGUUGUUAUGGUUCGCGUCAGGGAUGGGGUAGAGGAAGGAGAUGAAAGCGCAGAAUGUUCACAAGCCCUUAUUCGAGAAAGGGGAAAACUCCUUUAUUUCUUGAAGGAUAAUGUUCUUACAUCCUACGAUUAUACAUGUUCAGUAUUUAAAGUGAUUCUACGUAACUGCCUAACAAAUUCAGUUACGUCUAACGGUAUCGGGUUCGAGUAGAACACGUGGUCCAAGCUUUCGAAAAUUAAGCACGUGUGGUGUAAGCUUGCCCUAACUACCCCUGGUUAUGUUUGGGCCUUUAUGGAGAGCCAUGCAGGUUGGCAACGUGAUAAUCCUUCAGGUGAAAUGGUGCGGACCUGACUCGUGCUGGUCUGAGUCGUGACUGGGCCGAGUCACUAACACUUUCCGAUCAUGAAUUUUGGGACUCAUAUUUUGUCACGGAAAGCCACGCCGCCAGGAGUUGAGAGUGCGUUGUUAGUGACAGUGUAUUCAACUGCAUGCAUGUGUUGCAUGUACUGCAGAUAGGAAUACUAAGAAACAAAGUGCAUAGGAUUGGGUCCAUUCGGUGCUUGCUUUAUGUAGAAAACGUAUAAGAUCCUUCCUUUCAAGUUUCCACGACUGCCAUUAAUGUUUGUAAACAUUGAAUGCUUGGUUGUUCCGGUUGGUACGUAACUCAAUUUUGAAUUUUCAGAAAACUGGGGUGUCUAUGGUCAAGUCUUUUUCUAGAAAUGACAAACAGGCAAAGGGUGGGGUCAAUCUUAUUAGGCUCAAGUUUAACUUUAAUAGAACUAUUAUGAAUAAUAUUUUUUUUGAAAGUAUUUAAUGUAAUUAUAUUUAAAAUUAGAAUAUAAUUAAAACUUCAUAAGCUGGAACAAUUAUAAAAUAAAUUUUUAGUACCUAGAAGUUUAUUACUCGAAAAUUUAAAAUUUUAGAAUGUAAAAGUUAAAAUUUUAACCUUGUUUUUAUCAUAAAUAAUACCAGAAUAAGAUUAAAAAAACAAGAUUAAAAAGUAAACGAAUUUCUAAGGAUGCAAAAUGUGAUUUUGGGAUGCAUGAACUGGAUUCGAAAGUGACUCUUUAGUCAAAAGUUUUGGGCUAUCUAAUACAUAAAUUAUAAUAAAAAAAUAAUAACACUCUAUUAUAUGUUAUCUAAAGAAGUUUAAUUACUAUUUUUUAGCUUCAAUGUAAUCUUCUUAUUUUUAAAAGGCGUAAUUUAGUUUUUUAAUUUAUUUAUUGAGUUUAAUUUAGUCUAUUUAUUUUUAAAGGUUUCAAUUAAUUACUUUAUUUUUAAAAAAGUAGAUUCACUUCUGAUCCCAUUUAAAAUUAAGACUGGUUUCAUUUUUUGGAAAUGCUGGAAGCUGGCGGAAAGAAAAAGGAACCAAAUUAAACGUGUUUUUAAAAAAAUAAAGGAUAUGAAUAAACUUUUAUAAAAAAAUAGAGGAAUCAACUUAAAUUUAAAUAAAACUCUCCACUCCACCAUUGGAACUUGUAAUAGCAGGCCAUUAAGAGCUGAUACAAUAUUGAUAUUGAAAGACAUUACUGCGAUAUAUAUAAUCUCGUAUUCUUUAAACUAAAAGCUAUUAAUUAGCAUCUUAGGCUAGAUUGCCAUACUGGGCCUUAUAGUCUCGCCAGAGCUGAUCAACUGGCUUUCCCAGUAACUGAACGAAGAACUGAUCACUAUAACCAGUCCUCAUCAACUGGUUAAGUUGAGCCACAAACCCACUUUUGAGAGAAUCACAAUAAUCCAAAAAAUGAGCAGUAAUAUCAUAACCCUCAUCCCAUCUCUGUCCUUGCCCUGGUUUUCUCCAAUGACUGGCUGCAUAGUUUGCCUUCAGCCUCACAAAAUCUGCAAUACCUCCAAUUAAUCCACCAGGAGCCUCACCAUUCCCAUACCACUGCCAAACGUAGCAAACUUGAUGAAACAGCACCCCUGUGAUCUCUCUUUUCACAUCCCCACCACUAUACCCAUUAACAUAUCUUGCACUCACGUGAAUCUCGUUGUUCAUAGUGUAUGCAAUACCCUCCAUGUCAUCCACGACUAAGCUCACCUUCUGCACAUUUUUUCUGUCAGAAGGGUUUUUUUGCUGAAAGAUCCUCCAUACGAAUUGGGUGGCCAACUCAAGUGUUCGGUUUGCGUAUUCAGCUCCUAUUUUGUCACGGAAUCUCACACCACCGGGGGUUGUCAGUGCAUUGUUUAUUACUGUGAACUUAUAUCCCUGUGUUUCCUGCUUUGUAGCAUCAAAGCUUACUUUUAGAAUAUCUACGAUUUCAUCAAUGGGAAUUCUGCUAUAAUGUUCCACAGCAUAUUCCCAUUCUGCUACUGUUUUUUCAAACAAGUGGGAACCUAUGACUUCCAAAGCCAGUGGAAGGCCAGAAGCAUAAGCUACCACACGAUUCAAGACGUGCUCAUAACUUGGAUCAAUUUUUUCUCUUCUGAAAGCAUUCCAAGUAAGCAAUUGAAGAGCAGCAUUGUCAUUCAAAACCUUCACCUCAUAAGUUCUUUCAAUGCCAUGAUAUUUUAGCAGAUGUUUGUCCCGAGUGGUAAUGAUGACUCUGCUACCGGGACCAAACCAAUCAGGUCUUCCAACAAUAGCCUUUAAUUGCUCGUGCCUGUCUGCAUCGUCUAAAAUCAAGAGAACCUUCUUUCUUCGGAGCCUAUGUUGAAUCAUUGAAGCUCCUUCUUGCCAACUUGUUAAGUUGAUGUCCUUCUCACCAAGUAAUUUUAAAAGAAGGAUGCUUUGAAGGUGUUUUAACCCAUGUUUAUUUGAUUCUUCUCUCACAUUUUGAAGAAAACAUGAUUCGUCAAAAUGGAGAGCAAUCAAAUUAUAAACAGCUAGAGAAAGGGUUGUUUUUCCUAACCCACGCAUCCCAUGGAUCCCUAUGAUAUGGACAACAUCAUCUGAUCCAACAUCCAAAAGCUUCAUUAAGUCUGUCACUUGUGACUCUAGACCAACUGGAUAAUCCAGAACAUGUAAAGAAGCUCGAUUAAUCUUCCUAGAGACCUCCUCAACAAUGCUCCCAAUAAACUUGUAUUCAUAUGCAUCUCUGUUUCAAACAAACAAAAAAAGUUCUAAUGAAGUCAACCUAAAAGCCUUGCAUCCAUGUCUUGCUAGGUACAUUAAUUGUAAAGGUUAACAAGAGCAUUUCUUUUCUAUUUAAAUUUUACUGGUAAAAUCAAAGACAAGUAAAACCUAAUCCUAUAAAAACCAUAAAGUAAAUUAUAUUAGUAUGAUUGUAUACCCAUCUUUGAAAUGAUGGCCAGACAAGUCAGCUACUUGUUUCAAAGCCAUCCUCCAUUUCUGCAGCUUCUCCAUCUUAGAUUCGAACCUUUUCUGAUGCUUAAUCAUUGCUUCUCCAUAACUACCUUUCUGGUGUCUGAGAUCAGAAGGAUCUACGUUGUAAAAGACCGGUAUAACCAACAGCCCUUCACUCUUGCAGUGAAGGAUGGUUACAAGUUCAUCUAAACAAAAUGAGGAAAAAGCAUAGUUUUGAGAAAGCACAGUAAUAGCAAUCCUGGACUCUUGAAUUGCCUUCGAAAGUGCAGGUGUUAUUUCAUCUCCACCGUGAAGCUUCUCUUCAUCAAAGAAGGUAUGAAUUCCCUUCUCACAGAGAGCCCUGUAUAGAUUGCCAGUGAAACCAUAGCGUGUGUCUUCCCCUCUGAAGCUGAGGAACACAUCAUAGAUGAAUGGAAGGGAACGUGUUGUUGCAGCCAUUAUUAGAAGAAAGAAGUUUAGUAUGAUAAUGGUUGAUAUGGUGGGAGUGUAGAAUCAAACUUGAACAAAUAUGAGAAAGAUAUAUACCAAAUGUUAUAAAAGUCAAGUACGUCAAGCUCUUAUUAAUUGUCUGUUAUAAAAUUCAAUUCAAGCUCUUAUUCUAUGUUAUAAAAGUCAAGUUAAGAUCUUAUAAAGAAAGAUGCUCUCACUUUUUUUCAUUUUAAAUACUACUUUUCAUAAUCAAAUUAUCACAAAUAAACACUAAAAGCAUUUUUAAUAAUUGGUACUGUAUUUCAAAUAAUUAACUGGUGGUACUACUUAUUCUCCCUCCCCAAAAAUAAUUGUUAAUUAGAGAAUGAAAAUAUAUAUUAAAUAAUAAGUAAUCUGAUAAUUUUUAAUCACAGGAGCUUCAAAAUUUGUCUUUUUAUGUAUAUAAAUUUCUCAUUGAAAGAGUUUUAUAAUUACCUUGAUAAUUUUACUGAAAUUAAAACACCCACACAUAAGAUGUUUUACUUUAAGUCAGAUGUAUUUGUUCGAAAAGUAAUAGAAGUUAAUUUUGUAUAAUAAAAAAUGUUAACCAAUAAUUUAGGACAUUGAUUAAAAAAUAAAAAUAAAAAUUUUGAAAAAUCUCACAUAUGAUAUACUUUCUUUUUGUAAUUUUUAAUGCAACUUAUUAAUUUGAUAACGCAACUUCAAUUUUGGUGGGUCAAAUAUGAUUUUACAUAUUUGAAUUUUAUCUAUACUUCUCAAUUUAUAAUCAAUUUUUUAAUUAAAUUUAAAGGCUGAUACACUGAAUAAGUGAUUUGGCACAGUAAAAUGAGGAAGAAGCAUAGUUUUGAGAAAGCACAGUAAUAGCAAUCCUGGACUCUCGAAUUUCCUUCAAAAGUGCAGGUGUUAUUUAUUUCGUCUACUCUCAGAAGCUCCUGAUACAGUGUAGAUUUCCCUGUCAUCAAGAGCUUUGUGGAGAUUGCCAGUGAAACCAUAGCGUGUGUCUAAACCUCUAAAGCUGAGGAACACAUCAUAGAUGGAUGCAAGGGAACGUUUCGUUGCAGCCAUUAUUAGAAGAAACAAGUUUAGUAUGAUAAUGGUUAAUUGAUAUGGUAGGAAUGUAGAAUCAAACUUGAACAAAUAUGAAAAAGAUAGUAUAGAAAAUGUAAAGUGGGGCAAACCAAGCAUUAUUUGACGCGGUCAUACAAAUGUUUAUUAUUAGGCAGAGUAACAAUGACAUAUGGGGCCAAACAAUAACUAGUAACGCGGACACAUCGUACCAAAGUCGAUAGCCUUGUGCAAAAUAUGUGGCUUUUUUUCUUUUGUUUUCUCUCUCUGUCAAAUAAGUCAAAAUCUUAUGUUGUUUAAUUUUAUUAAGGUCUCAGGUUUUGCUGGAUGAUGAGAAGAGGAUGGUUAAAAUUAAAGAUAAGAUUUCUAUAUUAAUUAUUAAUAAAUUUAAUUAAUAUUUCAUAUUAAUGUCAUCAGUAAAGAAUAUCUUUACUAUAUCUUCUACCUACAAGCUAUGAGACAAGUAGUAAAAAAAUUACAUUUUAUAAUUAAAUCAUUACAAUCUAAGUAUUUUUUUUGUAGAAGUAUAAAAUUAUUUUUAGUAUUUGCUACUGCAUGUAUUUAAAAUAAUUAACUGGUGGUACUAAAUUGUAAUUUCUCCCCGUCCCCCAUUAAAAUUGUUAGACGUAAAAAGUUAGUCGAUUUCACAAAUUCUGUGAUCUGAGAUUAAUGAGCAAGAGCACAUUCUUUCAACUCCAAGUUGAAGGCUAUAUUCGGAAAUUUAGCUCUGAAAAAGGAAAAAAGGAAACCAAAUUCAAAAAUUAUGAUUCAUUUAACUUUCCAUAGGAUGAGAAUUAGAUGUUUGUUCCAAAGCCAAGAACAUGAGCUGAAUGGGUUGCCAAUAAAAAAAUAACGCAUUCCCCCUCUGAAUGUGAGAUAUGGCAUUCAAAGACUAGUUACUUUGGUCUCCUGGCCUCCUUGUCAAGAUAAGAUGUUUUCAAACUCAACACUAAUAGAAGCUCCUAUGGGAAUCCGUCCUGAUCCUUCGGGGUAGGGUGACAUUCACUACUAUAAAAUGAUGAUUCAACAUCGCCUCAGCUACAUGGGUUCGCCUCAUCUACAUCGGUUGUCGAAAAACCGUUGUAGUAAAACAUACGGUGACAUUUUUAAAAUUAAAACUAACUAUGUUAAGGUGUUAAUGGCGGUUUUUUAUAAAAUCGCCUUUUAUGUGUAUGUUACAAAGACAGUUUUAUAAAAACCGUCUUUGUUCAUAAAUACACUAUUAUGGUUUUUUAAUCACCCAUCUUUGAAGUCACGUGAUUUUAAUUUCAAUUCUAUUUUCACUUUCGAAGCUGAAGACUACGCCAUUUUCUGGUGACAUACGCAUUUUCUGGUCACCGAAUUCAACAAUGUCAUCGACGCACUGCCGCCGGGGACGACCAACGACCUGCACGAGAUCACGAAGCGAAUGGUGGCAGGAGGCUUCGGGAAGGAGUGCUCGCACGUGUACAGAAGUUGCCAGAGAGAGUUCUUGGAAGAAAGUGUGUCGAGAUUAGGGUUACAGAAGCUCAGCAUUGAGGAGGUUCAUAAGAUGACAUGGCAGGACCUCGAAGAGAAGAUUAAGAAAUGGAUUAAGGCCUCCAACAUCGCUCUCAAGAUCUUCUUCCCCAGCGAGCGCCGUUUCUGUGACCGUGUCUUCUUCGGAUUCGCCUCCGCCUCAGACUUCUCCUUCAAGGAGUUUUGUCGCUGGAAAGGCUGUUCCGAAUCCUCGACGUGUUUGAGACGCUGCGUGACCUAUUUCUGGAGUUUGAGGCUCUGUUUUCUGAUCAGUUUAGUGUGUCGCUCAGGAAUGAAGCGAUUACGAUUUGGAAGAGGUUGGGGGAAGAGAUUAGGAGAAUUUUUAUGGAGCUGGAGAAUUUGAUUCCCGGGAUCCGGCAAAGAUUGCAGUUCCUGGUAGCGGACUUCAUCCGAUCACUCGCUAUGUGAUAAACUACCUCCGUGCCACAUGUCAGUCACGGCAGAGCUUGGAACAGUUUUUUGAAGACUAUGGCAGGAAAUAGUACCCAAAGCUUGAUGAUAGGGUUCCUUCCUCUUCUUCUCUGUCAGUGCACUAUCAAAGAAGCUCCUGGAAUAAGGUAUUAGGGAUUCUGAAGUUCGAUAGUAAUGGGUCAAUGCCCCCUAUUAGCUUGGCAAAGUCAACGAAGGAGAAACUCAAGUCGUUUAACACGGUUUUUGAGGAGAUAUGCAGGGAACAGUCUUCAUGGUUUGUCUUUGAUGAGCAGCUUAGGGAAGAAAUAAGAAUUUCGCUUGAGAAAAUCUUGCUUCCUGCGUAUGGAAACUUUGUUGCAAGGUUUUAGAGUGUUUCAGAGCUUGGAAAGCAUGCUGAUAAGUAUAUAUAUUGAGUACGGAACGGAGGAAAUUCAAGCAAGACUCAAUGGUUUGUUUCAGUGAAGCAGUGGAUCAACUGGUAGCCGAAAGUGAAGGUGAAGCUGCUACUAGUUGUUCUUGUGUAUUUGUAGUGUAAUUAAAUUAAAAUACAAUGUUUUGAUUAUCACAAAAUUGUAGUCUUGUAGUCGUGUACUAUAAAUACUACUGUAUGUUAUUCUUCUUAGCAUCAUUGUGGAGGAUUGAAAAAGGAUUUUAAAGUAAGAGCUAGAGUUACAAAAUUAACCUUUAUGUUGUAACAUUUGAGGUGGUUCUUAUUGGUUUGUAUUUCAUAGAAUACAUUAGAAUAUAUGAUAAGAUAUUCUAUGAAAUACAUACAAUUCUAUCAUGACUCAUGUGUUUGAAACUUAAUAAUGGCUACCAACAUUGGAUUUUCAUAUGGUGGUGUAAACUAAGCCGAUCAUUCCAAUAUUUGUUUAUCAGUUCAAUUAAAAAAAAUAAAUUACAUUUUAAUUUCUUAUAAUUUGACUUAAAAUACUUUAUUCUGUGUUACCUGAACCAUAUAGAAUUUGAUAUUUUAUCAUCUUAUGUUUUGUUUUAAUUUAUUAUCACAUUGAUAAUUUAGUACAUUUUAUCUAUUUUCUAAAGAUUAAUAUAUUUUACUCUCUCCAUUUUCAGUUCAAAAAAUAGUAUAUAUGUAAAAAGAAAAAAAAAACAAGUUGAGCCACUAAUAAUGGAGAUUAAUGUAAAAUAUAUUUGCUUUAAAUUGUUGUUUUAAGUUGAGCAAAUAUUUUUAAGAAAUACUAGUAAUUUUUUAAACAGAAACUGUAACAUAAAUGGCCUAAAUAUACUCUUUGACCAUUAGGCUUGAAAUGGUAGCAGUUACUAAGAUGCGUUUUGUUUUAUUAGUAAUAUUGGUGUUGGAAUUGAAGAAAUAAAGAUAUUUUUUAGAUGCAAGAAGGAGGAAACUGAAAACAAAGCAAGUAGUACUACUGUGGUGUGGUGUGGUGUUAUUUUGUUUCGUUGUCUGCUAAUAAUUGUAAGCAUCAGUAAUGGGCAGUGGGUGGCAGCACAUGGCCACCGUGCUCCACCAAUCACCAAUCCAACUUCGCUUUCUUAAAUCAUAUCGACAUAAGGACAAUUUCGUAAUAUUUUUAUUGUGGAAAGUGAAAACUAUGAAUCUAGAUUAUAUAACUAUAAAUAAAUGUUUUAAGAUUAAAAGUUAGUCCGUGGUUAUAUACAUGACCACUUAAUAAAGCUUCAUCAAGUGCUUUUUUUAAAAUAAAAUAAAAAUAACCAUUCAAAUAUAAUUUAAUAGUGUAGGUUCAAAAUAUUCUGCGUGAUUUCUAUUUGGAAAUGGUUGGUUGUCUUUUCUGGUAUGUGUGGCUAUACAAACAUUCUUGCUGAACUGUUUGUCAUCUUUCAUGAUUUCAAUGUACCUUGGAACUCUACUUAUUGGCAUCAUAAAAUUGUAGCAUACAUUAAUGUUUCAAGAAAGAUAGAGUCUAAUUUCAACAGUUUUUGAAUAAAUUUACACCAAUUAAUUUUGAAACAUGAAGAAUACUAAACUAAAACUGAGAGAAUAAUUAUGGGUUGAAGUUUGAACAAAUGAAAUGGGCGGCUGAGAUCAUUCACAUCAAUGCAUGUGAUAAAAGUAAAAUACAACAAACAUUAAUUGGAAGACUUAUUAAUUUGUUGGUUUAAAUUUUCAUAGUCUUAACAAAUUCCUCAUAGCUAAUUUGACCAUCACCAUCCAAAUCUGCAGUUGCAAUCAUCUCCUCCACCUCUCCAGCAGUUGUGUUUUCACCCAGUUUGAUCAGAACUUGCCUCAACUGCAUAGCACGGAAUGAUUUUAACAUAUGAGGGCAUGUGUAUGUCUUUGAGCAUAUAUGCAGUUCUUAGUUAAUACUAAUAAAUUCUAUAUGAAAAAAGGAAGUUAACACUGAUAAAUUAAAAAUGAUCAAGUGAAAACUGAAAAACAAGAUUUUCUUCCUGAUCUUAUUUUAAAAUGUCAAAACCCAAGACAUUUUUUUUAAAACCAAACAGGCAAACAACUAUUAUUCAGAGUAUGCGGAAAGGUUCAAAGUACCAUCCUGAAUGUGCAAGUGACAUUAAUGUUCCUUUUUCUUUUCUUUUUUGGCCUUUUUCUCAGUGACAUAUAUAAAUAUAUAUGUACAUGAUAUCCUAGCCUCUCACCAUACAAUUUCAUUCCAUUUUUAAUAUACAAUUAUGGAAAAGGUUGAAUUAUUAAAAAUAAUACACGGGUAAUUUUAUAUAUUUUUAUUAUUUUUUGUUUUAAAAUUAUUGAUUUUCCUAUUUUAAAUUAUUAAUAUUCUGUAAAUUUCUAGCUUUUUUUCAUUAUUCUUUAUUUAAAAUAUCUAGAUUUGAUCUUUACAAAGAAUACUACACUUCUAGCCUCUUUAAAAAGCGCUUCAACAAUAUCAUAUAUUAAAUAAGGUUACUUUAAUCUAAAUGUAUGAAUAUUAUAUACUUAUUAAAUACUUUUUAAUCUAUUUAUACUAACCUUAAACAUCAAUAAUUUUAGAAGGGCUGUAGCAAUUUAUAAAAUAAAUUUGUGUGUGUGUAAAAAAUAUUAAAAGAACAAUCAAAGGGAAGAUGCACUUUGCAACAUCUUGACACUACUUGCUUUUUGUUCAAGUUUGAAGUAACCUUACUUCGUCAGAAAUCUCAUGAAUACUUUGAUGGGCGAUUGCCGUCAGAAAAAGCAAGUUAAAAUAAAAAAAUGAAUAGAAAGAAUAAAAGUUUAUACAUAUACCUCACUUGCUGAAAUGUAGCCAUUUUGAUCCUUGUCAAACACCUUGAAAGCCUCUCUGUAUUCUUGCUCUUGAUGAGUUCCCUAACCGAGACAGAAAACAGAACUGAACUUAGUAUAUGGCUGUUCUAUAUAUAAUAGUAAUAAUGAGAAGAAUAUUAAUCUUAGCAAAAAAUGCAAUAUUAAUUCCUUACUUGCACUUUGGACUCUUGUUCAACAGGCAGAUCGGCAACAUGUACUCUAGCAGGAUUAAUCUUCUCAGAGACCGACGCAACAAUUCUCUCAAUAAACUUGUACUCAUAUUCAUCUCUGUUAUUAAUAUUUGAACAUUAAAUUGUGAGACAAGUAAAACUUAAUUAAUCCAAUAAAAAUUAAAACAUAAAAAGAUUGGUAUCAUUGGGUACCUGUAUUUGAAAUGAAAGCCAGACAAGUCAGCAACUUGACGCAGAGCCAUCUCCCAAUUCUGGAACUUUUCUGGAAAUCUUAUCUUAUGCUUAGCCAAUGCUUCUCCAUAAGUACCCUUCUGGUGUCUGACAUCAGAAGGAUACACCUUAUAAAACACUGGUAUAAUCAUCAUCCCAUUAUACUGGGCGCAGUGAACAAUGGAUGUAAGUUCAUCUAAGCAAAAUGAGGAAGAAGCAAAGUCUUCAGAGAGCACAGUGAUGGCAAUUCUGGAAUCUUUAAUUGCCUUCAAAAGUGCAGGUGUUAUUUCCUCUCCGCUGUGAAGCUUCUCUUCGUCAAAGAAGGUACGAAUUCCCUUGUCAGAAAGAGCCCUGUAGAGAUUGCUGGUGAAACCAUAGCGUGUGUCUUCCCCUCUGAAGUUGAGGAACACAUCGUAGAUGGAUGCACGGGAACUUGUUGUUGCAGCCAUUAUUAGAAGGAAAAAAGUUUAGAAUGAAACUUGAAGAAAUAUGAAAAUGAAAGUAUCCCAAAUUAAUGCUAAGUGUUAUAAAGAAGAUAACCGCCUUUGUGGAAAAUAGCUAAGAUGCUCUCACUUUUUUUCAUUUUAAAAAAAAAAGUACUUUUUUAUAAUCAAAUUGUUACAAAUAAACUAUAAAAGUAUUUUUAAUAAUUGGCAACUGGUGUACUAGUAAUUCUGCCCCACCCCCUAAAAGAAUCUUUAGAGAAUCAAAAUAUAUAUUAACUAAUAAGUGAUCUGAUAAUUUUUAAACAAGUGUUUUAUACAGAAGAUAGCCGCCUUUAUGGGAAAUAGCUGUGUUAUAAAGAAGAUAGCUGCCUUUGUUGAAAAUCUCUUGCUUUCUCUCAUUCAUUGUUAUAAAAGUCAAGUCAAGCUCUUAUAAAGGAAGAUGUUCUCACUUUUUUUUUUCAUUUUAAAAAAUACUUUUUGUAAUCAAAUUCUUGCAAAUAAACUAUAAAAGUAUUUUUAAUAAUUAACUGGUGGUACAACUAAUUAUGUAGCCCCUAUAAAAAAAUCUUUAGAGAAUCAAAAUAUAUAUUAACUAAUAAGUAAUCUGAUAAUUUUUAAUCACUAGAGCUUCAGAGUUCGUCUUUUAUAAAAAACAGAGUAAAAAUAUAAAAGAGAGAUGAAAAUAGAAAAGAGAUAGAAUCUGAGAAAAAAAAGUCAUGCGUGAAAAUGUUUUACACUAUCAAUUAAUCAUAUGAUAAAUUUGUUGAUUAUUAAACUAACUAGUUUAAAAUAUUAUCUAUUAAGUAAAAAUUUAUUAUGAAUGCACAUAGUUAUUUAAAAAAAUAUAUACUAAAAGGAUGUAGGACACUGAAUUAGGUUAGGACAAUCCAAAGCAUAACUCAGAAUCCAUUCUAAAGACUAUAUUGAGUCUAAUUUCAAAAUUCUAAUUCAUCUAAAUCAACUUUAAACCGAACUCAGAUGAUGAAACUAGUUGGAUAUUGUUCACCCUACAGUGUGAUAACUGUAAGGUUUGGAAGGAAAACAUUCUUCUCCAUUUUGACUAAAUCAGCAUCGAUUAUGCUAUUAGGAAAUGAUAAAUCAUUGAGUAUUACUAAAACUAACAGCUCUAGAUUUGUACACACAUAUAUAUGAUGUCUACCAGGCUUAAAUUACUGAGGUCAUAUUGUCAGAGAAACUGGAAUUCUACAUCUCAUAAAAUCUAAAAACAACCAGCUAUGUGUUCAUCCAAGAUAAUCCUUAUGAUGAUAAUGAAUAAGACAUUCACUUGAAGUAUAUUUGAUUCUAGAGAGGCAUAGAACAAAACACAUCUAUUUUUUAUUUACAAGCAAGCACAAAUCUAUUGAUAUGCUCAAACUCAGUGAAUUAGCAUUCCACUUUCUGAAGCUGUAAGCAGCCAAUAUAGUAGUAUGAUUAAACCUAAGAAACACUGUUACAAAUUUAAGAAGUUUAAGUCUUUCUUCUUCCUGCUCAAACUAUUUCUUCAUUGGAAGUUGAAUGCACCUGACCCUGCACCUUGCAAUAGGAAACCCCUAGAAGACCUAUUCAAAGCAAAAAGGAAUCAAUCUAAACUAAGAGGAAAAAUAAACCAUGGAAAUCUCAUCAAACAUUCUCACCAAAUCUCAUUUGCAUGGAGUCCUGCUGUAUCUGUAUAAAAAUGUUGAAUCGCAGUUCUUUCAUUCCUUCAAUCCAUUAUCGCGACUUUUAGCAAUGCAAAAAUCUUUUAGUUGAAGAGAGCAGUCACUAGUUUCCAGCAAUGGAAACCACUGCAGCAGGAGCAACUAGCAAUAGUUUGUAUGGGGAUUUUGAACCUUACAGAAGAUGGCAUACAGAGGAAGGACAACAGACUCUUGAGGAGUUUUCUGCAUUGCUCAUCAGUUUAUUGUCUCACCUCCACUAUCCAUUUUUUCAAGAUAUAAUCAUCAUCAUAUGAUCCCUACUUAGCAGCAUCUUCCUAAUCAAUUAUGUUGUUUACUAAAUUCCAGUUAAUCAGUUUCAAAUUACUACUAAAAAGAGCACAUGUUAUGACGCCAAAACGAGGUCGGUUCAAAUAAACCAUCUUACAAUAUAUGGCCGAGACAAUUUUAUAAAUAUGAGGAGUUUAACAAAGAAGGUUAUAUAAAAACUGCCUUAGAAUAUAUGGCGGUUGGCAUCGCUGUGCUUCGGCACGGCUGCGGGGUUUGAGGUCUGGCACAGUUGCUUCUUGCAAUGCUGUUAGUGUUCGUGAAGGACCCUUUCCCGCACGUGCAAGCCUAGGAACUGGAAGGGCUUGCUGGUUUCUGCGAGCCUGGCAGAGAGUCAAGUGACAUCGUUUUCCUGUUGGCAAAACCCUCGUCUCUCGCUAGUACCCUGGGAACCAAGGUUUUUUAUUUUUCUUCUCUUAUUUUAAAACCCUUUCUAUAUAGCUCCAUAACUUCAUUUUUUAUAUAUGGAGUGGUGGCUGCCGAAGGUAAGUUUUCAUCUUCUUUGAACUUCAUCAUUGCUAUUGCCUUCUAAAUUUCUGCAUUAUCAUUUUAAUUUGUGCAAAAGAAAAUGUUCACACCCUUGUUUAUUUUCUCUGGAUUGCUUCACAGAAGGAGAGCAGAGAGCACAACCAAGUGUUCAUCUUUGACUCACCAUGAAGCUCAUCAGGUUUUUCUCUCUUUGUUGAUUUAUCUGUGAAUUUUCUUCUGUUGUGUUUUUUUAAUUAGCAUCUCAUUCAGUGCAUUACAAGGUGAUGCAAGUAUAAAUCUGAUUUAGAAUCAUUCGAUAAGCAUGUGAAAGGCCUGCAUUUUGUGCUUAUGAACAGGGAAAGGAUAUUCUACUUGCUUUGUUGGAAAAUCCCAUUCUAGUAUCAGCCUCAAACUGUUUGAAGGCUAACUCAGAGAGGAAGUUCUCAGUAUCUGAUGUGUCUAGUCCAGAGAGAUCAAAAUGGGUUUAUAUAUUCCAGAGAGAAUAUGCUACCAUUGACCCCGCCCUUGUUGAUGUAAUUUCUUAACUUUUUGCAAUGUCAUUAAGCUAAUAUGUAUUACUUCAAAUGUAAUCAUUUCCCUUUGACUUCAGUGAUGAUGUGUAAGAGAUAAUUUUUGUAAAAUUGUAAAUUUAAUUUUAAACUAGUUCAUAGUUCAUUAUUGUAUGCAACUAUUAAUCUUGUGCAUGCAGACAAUUCAUACUUAAUUGGACUAAGUCACAUCAUAUGUGGAAUUUCUUUUUCCGGUCCAUUUUUUCAAAUGUUCCUUCUACUAGGUGUUCAAAUAUUGGUUUUAUUAUUUUUAAUUUAACACUGCAGGAUAUCAGUUGCCGCAGAGAUACUGAUGCAAUUUUCCUUUCAGGGGACUUCUAGAAUACAUAUACAUUGGAAGGGAGCCGCAAAGAUAGUUCUAGGAGCAUGUACUCAAUAUCUUGAUUCAUAUGGUCAAUUGCUAUCCAUUGAAGAAGAGAAAAAGGUUAGGGAUGGCAGUUUCAAGUCCAGAGAGCUUGCUGAUGGAAUGAAAUUCAUUUAAUUGAACAUUGGAGAUGUUAUUUUAUUUUUCUUUUGGUUUAGAACAAUCAGAAAUUAAGGAAAAAUACAUGGAACAAGGUUUCCAACAAAUUUCUUUUUUCUUAUCAAUGUGAUUAUAGUGUCAUUUGAAGUUACUCUGAUAGAGAACCAAAUCAAGAAAUGGGGAAAAAAUCAAAGCACAUUGUUCCUUUAUUGGAAGCCUAACUCUCACCUUGCAAUGCUAGAAUUGGAACAAGCAACUCCCCAGAAGACCCAUUUAAACAAAAAAGGAAUUAUUCUCAACCAAGAGGAAAAUUAAACCAUGAAAAUCCCAUUACGGUUUCUCACCAGAAUCUCAUUUGCAUGCAGUACGAUAUUUGUAUGAAAAAUGUUUAGUCACAAUUCUUUCAUUCAUUCAAUCCAUUAUCAUAACUUUUUGCAAUACAAAUAUUUCUAGUUUAGCCGUUUAAGAGGGCAUUCACCAGUUUCCUGCAAUGGAAAAUGAUGCUGGAGCAACUAGCAAUAGUUUGUAGGGGAUUUUGAACCUUACCGCAAAUGGCUUACAAAGGAAGGACAACAGACUCUUGAAGAGUUUUCUGACUUUGCCUUCUCUGUUUCUUAGCAUUUUCACCUCAACAUUUAUUUUUAGAUAGUGGUGUCUGUUGGACUUUGACUUGUUUAUUUCUUAGGCUGCUUCCUAUCCUUAUUAAUGGCACGUUUUUAAUCUCCAUUCAUAAAUUUAAAAACAACAAGCUAUCAGCCAUCCUAAGACAAUCCUUAUCAAGAAAAUGAAGAAGACAUUAUCUAGCUUAAAUUACACUAGUUAUUCCUUAGAUUUGGUGAAAUUUUCACAACCUUUUCAUACUUUUUUUACCCCUACACUAACCCCUCAAUUAUUUCAAAAAUAUUAUUCCAGUACCUCUUAUACAUUAUACUAACCUUCCUUAAUUGUUUGAAGAACAUUACACUGUGUUCACUUAUAAAGAAGGUAGUUGUAAAUGUUAAAAAAAAUAAUACUUAAUAAUUUAGAGAGGCAUAUAGAAGUAGAAGUAAACACAAAUCUAUUUAUAUGCCCAACUCAAACUCAAUAAGAAUCCUAAGUAGACAUUCUUCUUACAAGUAUAAAAAAUUUAACUUUCUCAACUGCUAUGAACAGUUGAUAUAGAUCAUAUAGUAGUAUGCUAGCUAAAUCCUAAGAAGUACACUUUCAAAAUUUAACUAAUUGAAGUUUUUCUCCUUCCUGAUCAAAUUAUUUAGCAUAACCAGCGGGAAUCUGAUCAUCGUAGCAAUUAGAAGAGAAAAAGUUAAACAUCCAAAAACAAAUGUAUAUACAUACAAAAAUAAAUAUAAAAAUAAAUUACAAAUAUAUUAUUAUAUUGUUUUAUAGUAGAACUUGUAAGGGAAAAUCUAAAAGUAAACAAAAAGUAUAUUAAAGAUUUCUUUUUACUUUAUUUUAAUUACAAUGUAUAUAUAAGAUAAAUACCUGUUGGUUUAUGUAAUUUUGAAGUGUAACUAUAAAAAUAUAUACAAAGAUAAAACUUGAAAGGUUAUAUAUAGAAAAUGCAUAAAGUAGUGAAAGAUGAAUAUAAAUGAGUCAAAAGUACAUGAUGAAGAUAGGGUGAAGAGCAGUUGGGUUAAGUCAAUUUUUUUCAACUGAAACCAAAAUAAUAAAAUAAAAAACAAAAAAAAAUAAGAAAAAAGCUAUGGAAAACUUGCGUGUUCCCAAAGCUAUGGUUUGUAGUAAGGAGCGGCUUUCUGAUGCAGAGCUGCUGAGAUAUGGAUCAUCAAAUCGAAUAUCUUCCUCCAUACUGCCUUCUUCUCUGAAUAUAUGGAUUCCAGUUGCUUUAAUGAGUGAGCUCUCUAAGUCUAACACACCUUCUUUUCUUUUUUGCUUUUCAUAGUCUAACACACUUUGAUAUCUAACCUCCACAUGGUUCCAUUCCUUUUCCCUAGCCACUUCUAAAGCAAACAGAGAUCUAGAGGGACGAAAGAUAUGUGUAUGAUCCAAUUUCAACAUACUGUAACUUUCAUAAUCGAGCAGAUAGUUUAGAAUUUUUCCAUCGAUGAACACCUUGGGUAUAACGAAAGUUUGCAGGUCAUCCGACACAGGUGCAAUAAGAAGACAAAGAAGUUUGGAAGGGAAUUUAUUACGAAACCAGAAAGAACUUGAAUGUCCACUGCUUUGCUGAUCCAACCACUCUGGUAUUCUUGUUCCUGGAAACACAAACUCGGUUCCUCCAGCCUCAUACAGUUCCUGUUAGUCAUAAUUCAUACAGAAUUCAUAAGUUUAACAACAUUAAGUGCACUAUACAUCAUCAAAUCCUGUACAGUAACAAAAAAGACAAUACCUGAUUUAAAAACAUGCUUUUACUCGAGGAAGUCAAGGAUGCACAGUUUCUUGCAUGGAAAUAACAUAAGUUUGGUGGAAGCCCUCUAAUUUCCUGAAGAUGCUCGCAAUCACUCACCAUAAGUGCUCUUAAAAAUUUCAAUUCUUUGAAGAAUUCAGGAAGGAUUGUGAAAUUAUUCCCCGAUAGAUCUAAAUAUCCUACACGAGCAAACCUCUUGGAACCUGUUAAAAAAAAUCAUCACAGAGAUUGCAAUUCAUGGCAGAAAACGAAAGUUUCAUUGAAGACGGUAUUGAGCCCACUUUUUCUUCACCUCCUUCCGAUUCUACCCAUUGCCACCUGUUACAAUUUUUAAUUUGGAAUCGAAACAGAUUGGGCAUCAUGGCUAAGCUACAUCGUAACUGAACAAUUCCACAGCUCCACAGGGAUAACAGUUGGAGUCCAAUAAGAUUUUGAAAUGAAAAUGGCAAUUCUUUUAUGGGAAGGCCAUCCAAUUCAAGGCUCUUUAUGUUUUCCAUCUCUCCUAAUAUUUCUGGAAAAUAAUCAAGACUGGAACAGUGAGAAAGUUCAAGUGUUUCAAGAGAGGUCAAGUUGAGAGGCGGAAAACUCGUAAGCUUCCUGCAACCAUAAGCACUCAACUUUUUUAAGUUUUUUCAGAAAACCAAUGGAGUCAUCAACUGCAACUAAACUCUCACACCCUUCAAAUGAAAGUUCCCUCAAAUUUGCGAGAUCAGAUACAUCAGGUAUCUUUGUUAAAAAUUCGCACUGGUCAAAAUUUAAAACUGUUAGAUGUCCCAACUUCUGCAAGGAAAAAAAAAAGAAAUAAGAAACAAAUGAAUAAAUUUAAUUCACAGAAUGAGAAAAAUAUAAUCUUUAAACUUGCCUUCGAUGGGCCAUGGAACUCAAAUGACUUAAUGGAACUGUUAGGUAACUUGCAUAUAACAAGGUUCAUCGGAUCAAAGUUCGAUGGUAAACAAUUUGAAGGAUAUCUGUGCCAUUCCAGUACUCUCAAACCUUCUGGAAAAUAACUGGGACCUUUGGAAAAUUUGCCAUUUCUAAUAAUAAGUAUUUUAAGGUUUUCCAUCUUCAUGAAGGCGUUUUCAUUCCAUUCCACUGUUUCUUCUUUGUCAGAUAUUGAGAAAUCCACACAUAUGAUUUCAAUUUUACUAGUUCCCUGUUAAUGCAAAAAGGCAUGAAUCAACCACAAUACAACUUGUGUGAAAUAUCAAUUGACUCGCUUAGAAAAAUUUACAAAUUAUCAAGAAAAAGUUAACUAUGAUGUAAAUAUGAGAUAGACAAAAAAAUUCAACUAUUCAUGAGCUCACUCACCGUGUUGUGUUUUAAAACUUGAAUUAUAUCUUUUGGUGACAAUAAUCUCUUGCACUUCCCGGGCUCUUCUGGUGAUCUCUGCCGCUCAAUUUCUCUACCCAUGUCCUGAAUCAGGUCGUGCAUUUCCACAGUAUCACACCAGCUACGCUUUAUGAGAGAUUUUUCAACCAACACCCCAAUAUGAUGCUUCUUGCAGUUACCAUAAAGAGCACGGAGUAUAUCAUCAACCUCUGUCCAUUUAUACCCUUUGAAGCAACACGCAAUGUCAAGAAAAACAUUCUUUUGUUCUUCCUCCAAAGCAUCAAAGCUUACAUUUAGAAUCUUUAGGAUUUCAUGACUGGGAAUUCUUUUAUAAUAUUCCACAGCAGAUUCCCAUUCUGCUACUGUUUUAUCAAACAAGUUAGAACCUAUGAUUUCCAACGCCAAUGGAAGGCCAGAAGCAUAAGCUACUACACCAUUCAAGACCUCCUCAUAACUUGGAUGAAUUUUCUCUCUUUUAAAAGCUUUCCAUGUAAGCAAUUGAAGUGCAUCAUUCUGAUUCAAAACCUUCACCUCAUAAGUUCUUUCAACCUCAUGAUAUUUUAGCAGAUGUUUGUCCCGAGUGGUAAUGAUGACUCUGCUACCCGGACCAAACCAAUCAGGUCUUUCAACAAUAGCCUUCCUUUAAUUGCUCGUGUUUGUCAACAUCGUCUAAAAUCAAGAGAACCUUCUUUCUCUGGAGCCUAUGUUGUAUCGUUGAAGCUCCUUCUUGCCAACUUGUUAAGGUGAUGUCCUUCUCACCAAGUAAUUUUGAAGGAAGGAUGCUUUGAAGGUGUUUUAACCCAUGUUUAUUUGAUUCUUCUCUCACGUUUUGAAGAAAACAGGAUUCAUCAAAAUGGAGAGCAAUCAAAUUAUAAACUUCCAGAGCAAGUGUUGUUUUUCCUAACCCGCCCAUUCCAUGGAUCCCUAUGAUUUGGACAAGAUCAUCGGAUCCAACAUCCAAAAGCUUCAUUACCUCUGUCACUUGUGAUUCUAGACCAACUGGAUAAUCCGCAAUAUGUAAAGAAGUACGAUUAAUCUUCCUAGAGACCUCCUCAACAAUACUCCCAAUAAACUUGUAUUCAUAUGCAUCUCUGUUUCAAACAAACAAAAAAAGUUCUGAUGAAGUCAGCCUAAAAUCCUUGCAUCCAUGUCUCGAUAUGUACAAUAAUUGUCAAGGUUAACAAGAACAUUUCUUUUCUAUUUGAAUUUUACUAGUUAAAUCAAUAGACAAGUAAAACCUAAUCCAAUAAAAACCAUAAAGUAAAAUAUAUUAGUAUGGUUUUAUACCCAUCUUCGAAAUGAUAGCCAGACAAGUCAGCUACUUGUUUCAAAGCCAUCCUCCAUUUCUGCAGCUUCUCCUUCUUAGCUUUGAACCUCUUCUGAUGCUUAGCCAUUGCUUCUCCAUAACUACCUUUCUGGUGUCUGACAUCAGAAGGAUCUACCUUAUAAAAGACCGGUAUAACCAACAGCCCUUCACUCUUGCAGUGGAGGAUGGUUACAAGUUCAUCUAAACAAAACGAGGAAGAAGCAUAGUUUUGAGAAAGCACAGUAAUAGCAAUCCUGGACUCUUGAAUUGCCUUGGAAAGUGCAGGUGUUAUUUCGUCUCCUCUGGGAAGCUCCUGAUCAUCAAUGGAAGUGUAGAUUCCCCUGUCAUCAAGAGCUUUGUAGAGAUUGCCAGUGAAACCAUGGCGUGUGUCUAAACCUCUGAAGCUGAGGAACACAUCAUAGAUGGAUGCAAGGGAACGUGUUUUUGCAGCCAUUAUUA